GUCAGGAUGGCCGAGCGGUCUAAGGCGCCAGACUCAAGAUGCUGGUCUUCAAUGAAGGCGUGGGUUCAAAUCCCACUCCUGACA
Molecule: non-coding RNA, 84 nt
Organism: Daphnia pulicaria
Lineage: Eukaryota; Metazoa; Arthropoda; Branchiopoda; Diplostraca; Daphniidae
Source: the annotation of a RefSeq genome assembly